This 2337-nucleotide long non-coding RNA is filed under the name Olea europaea subsp. europaea. Lineage: Eukaryota; Viridiplantae; Streptophyta; Magnoliopsida; Lamiales; Oleaceae. The record is from RNAcentral.
GUAGACACUUGUAGAAUUCUCUAGAAGAUAUGAUAAGAGUCUAUAAAUAGAGCAUGAUCCCUCAUUUGUUAGUAAGAAAAAAGAAGCUAGACAAAGUUCAAGCUAUUGUAAGCUAUCAUCAUUCUAAUAAAAUUCCUUUCUCCUACCCACUUUGUCCACCAAAUUACUUUCUACCAAAAUCUUCCAAAUUAUUAACUUUCAAUAAAAAGCCAACUAUUUUUUAACCCCAAAAUUAUUCUAUACAAAACAUCCUCAAUCAUCAUAUCUCAUCACUACAACAACACAAAAACUAUCAGUGGUAUCAGAGCCACGUUUGAUUGAUAUUGGGCGUACACAUAUAUGAUGGCAGACGCUUUCCGCUCAUCAAUUCCUAUCCCAACAUUUAAUGGGGAUAACUAUGAUUUUUGGUCUAUCAAAAUGAAGACCUACUUUUGUGCUCAAAAUUUAUGGGAUGUCGUCAACGAUAGAUAUACUAACCCAGAUGACAUUUCCACUUUAACUUCCGCACAAAAGAAGGAACUUAAGGAGAAUCAACAAAAAGAUUCUCUAGCAUUACUUUCUCUACAAAUGAGCUUGACGGAUACAUAUUUUCCAAGAAUUAUGGGAGCCAAAACAGGGAAAGAAGCAUGGGAUAAGUUGAAGGAGGAGUUCUACGGCAGUAUCAAGGUACGUACUUGCCGCCUUCAAACUUUAAGAAGGAAUUUUGAAAAUCUAAAAAUGAAAGAGUCGGAAAUCGCAAAAGAUUAUUAUUCAAGAAUAGAUGAAAUAGUAAAUCAACUAAGGUCUUAUGGUGAUGAUGUUCCCGAAAAGAAGGUCGUUGGAAAAAUUUUAAUUACUUGCACAGAAAAAUAUGAUCCAAUUAUUGCAGCUAUUGAGGAAUCCAAGGAUAUAGAUGAAUUAACAACUGCAGAAUUAAUGGGAUCAUUAGAAGCUCAUGAAAAAAGAUUAGAAAGGCGCUAUGAAAUGGAGAUAGAAAACGCUUUUCAAUCAAAACUUAAUAUGCGAUUUCAAAAAUCUAAAGAAGGUGGGAGAAAAUUUAAAGAGAAUUCGAAAAAUAAAGAAAUUCAAGAAAAAGAAGUUGAUAAAAGCGACAAGUAUUCUUCAUGUAGUAUUUGUAAAAGAAAAGGUCAUCAGGAGAAAGAUUGUUGGUUUAAAGGUAAACCACAGUGUCGUAAUUGUAGAAAAUUUGGACUUGAAGAGAAAUUUUGUCGCCUUAAACAAAAUCAUCAAGCUAAUUUCUCUGAAGAAAAGGAGACAGAAGGAAAUCUAUUUUAUGCCUCCAACACAAAUGUCUCUGAAAAGAAAUUAGAUACGUGGUAUCUAGAUAGUGGUUGCAAUAAUCACAUGACGAAGGAUGAAAGUAUUUUCUGCAGUCUCGAUAAAAUAAAUACUAAAAUAAAAAUUGGCAAUUGAAAUUUUAUAGAGGCUACAGGUAAAGGUACUAUUGCCGUUGAUACAAAAAAGGGCAAGAGAUACAUUAAUGAAGUUCUCUUAGUCCCUACAAUAGAUCAAAAUCUACUAAGUGUAGGUCAGAUGAUGGAGAAAGGAUACAGUAUACAUUUUGAAGGAGAUUAUUGUACAAUUUAUGAUAAGAAAGAUAAACAUCUGGUAAUUGCAAACGUCAAAAAGCGAGAGAACAGAUGUUUUCCAAUCAAAUGGAGAUACGCAGACAAUGUGGCAAUGGCGGUGCAAGUAGAUGAGUCAUGAUUGUGGCAUAAAAGAUUUGGACAUUUCCACUUCCAUGGGUUAAAGAUUUUGAAGCAAAAGAGCAUGAUGAGAGACUUACCAGUCAUAAAAGAAAUUGAUGCAAUUUGCGAAGGAUGCUUGAGCGGGAAACAUCACCGUCAACCAUUUCCAUCUGGAAAAGCAUGGAGAGCCAAAAAGCCUUUGGAGUUGAUACAUACGGAUGUAUGUGGCCCGAUGCGUACUCCAUCACAUAACCAAAACAGGUACUUCAUUCUAUUCAUAGAUGACUAUACUAGAAUGACAUGGGUAUAUUUCUUGCAAGAAAAAUCCCAAGUAUUUGAGAUUUUCAAAAAGUUCAAAAGCUAUGUCGAAAAGCAAAGUGGUUGCAAAAUCAAAACUAUCAGAAGCGACAGAGGCAGGGAAUAUACAUCAAAUAAAUUCAACAAGUUUUGUGAAGAUGAAGGAAUGGAGCAUCAACUUACUGUUGGGUACGCGCCGGAACAAAAUGGCGUGUCAGAAAGAAAGAACAGAACAGUAAUGGAGACAGCUAGAGCUAUGCUGAUGGAGAAAGGUCUUCCAAAAACAUUUUGGGCAGAAGCAGUAAGCACUGCAGUCUAUCUACUAAAUCGAUGUCCGACAAAGGCAGUGCAA